Molecule: long non-coding RNA, 205 nt
Filed under: Malus domestica (apple)
Lineage: Eukaryota; Viridiplantae; Streptophyta; Magnoliopsida; Rosales; Rosaceae
Description: long non-coding RNA (MDOM_LNC015585)
Source: RNAcentral
GAGCAAGGCUAGGUAAGCAAUCAGGAAGGGGUUCCAGGCAGUCGGUUCCAGAUUGGAAGAUUGAUACCAAGUGAUGGCUGAUUACUCACUUUCUCCUUGUCCUAAAACAACGACAAGGAGAAGGACAAGGAGAAAGCAUGAUAUGAGAUACUCUUGCUUUCAACCUUCAUGAUAUGAAAUACUUUUGCUUUGGAUGGGUUGUUUG